UUCCCUGUGGCUCAGUUGGUAGAGCAUGGUGUUUGCAACGCCAGGGUUGUGGGUUCGAUUCCCACGGGGGAAU
Molecule: transfer RNA, 73 nt
Filed under: Salmo salar (Atlantic salmon)
Lineage: Eukaryota; Metazoa; Chordata; Actinopteri; Salmoniformes; Salmonidae
Rfam family: tRNA
About the family: Transfer RNA (tRNA) molecules are approximately 80 nucleotides in length. Their secondary structure includes four short double-helical elements and three loops (D, anti-codon, and T loops).
Source: Rfam by way of RNAcentral